Molecule: ribosomal RNA, 699 nt
Filed under: Cetraspora pellucida
Lineage: Eukaryota; Fungi; Glomeromycota; Glomeromycetes; Diversisporales; Gigasporaceae
Description: eukaryotic LSU rRNA
Rfam family: Eukaryotic large subunit ribosomal RNA
Source: RNAcentral
GCAUAUCAAUAAGCGGAGGAAAAGAAACUAACAAGGAUUCCCCUAGUAACGGCGAGUGAAGCGGGAAGAGCACAAAUUUUAAAUCUACCUGGUUUUCAGGUCGAGUUGUAAUUUGAAGAAACGUUUUUUACGUUCCGGGUUGGAUUAAAUCCUUUGGGAUAAGGUAUCAUGGAGGGUGAGAAUCCCGUGUAUACCAACCACUGGAAUGUUAUUAAUACGAUUUCUAAGAGUCGAGUUGUUUGGGAAUGCAGCUCUAAAUGGGUGGUAAAUUUCACCUAAUGCUAAAUAUAAGCGAGAGACCGAUAGUGAACAAGUACCGUGAGGGAAAGAUGAAAAGAACUUUGAAAAGAGAGUUAAAUAGUACGUGAAAUUGUUGAAAGGGAAACGGUUGAAGUCAGUCAUACCGGUGGGAAUCAACUUAGGGGAAACUCUAAGUGCAUUUCUUCGCUUGGUAGGUUAGCGUCGAUUUUGGAUGUCAUAAAAUGACUGGGGGAAGGUAGCUCCUUCGGGAGUGUUAAGCCCUUAGUAGAUGUGAUGUCUGAGAUCGAGGAUUGCAACGGAUACCUUUUAGGUUAACCGCCUGGUCUCUAAUACGAACUUAGGUUACGGACAGCAUGCUGACUGUGAUCUAAUCUUCGGUUAAAAGAUUAGAGUGAGUGUAAAUUCGUUAAGGACGCUGACGUAAUGGCUUUAAACGAC